GCUGGGUGUGGUGGCACAUGCCUGUAAUCCCAGCUACUUGGGAGGCUGAGGCGCGAGAAUCACUUGAACCUGGGAGGUGGAGGUUGCAGGGAGCCGAGAUCGUGCCACUGCACUCCAGCCCGGGUGACAGAGUGAGACUGUGCCUCAA
This 148-nucleotide non-coding RNA is filed under the name Pan paniscus (pygmy chimpanzee). RNAcentral also lists the same sequence under 1 other name. Lineage: Eukaryota; Metazoa; Chordata; Mammalia; Primates; Hominidae. The record is from Rfam by way of RNAcentral.